This 322-nucleotide ribosomal RNA is filed under the name uncultured eukaryote. RNAcentral describes it as "partial 18S ribosomal RNA". It matches the Rfam family "Eukaryotic small subunit ribosomal RNA", at positions 1470 to 1796 of the family's 1831-position model. The record is from RNAcentral.
CCCUUAGAUGUUCUGGGCCGCACGCGUGCUACACUGAGUAAUUCAGUGGGUAAGGGAACGCUAGAGCAUUACCUAAUCUUGAAAUUUGCUCGUGAUGGGGAUCGACGGUUGCAAUUUUCCGUCGUGAACGAGGAAUACCUUGUAGGCGCAUGUCAUCAUCAUGCGCCGAAUACGUCCCUGCCCUUUGUACACACCGCCCGUCGCUCCUACCGAUUGAGUGAUCCGGUGAGGCUCUGGGACCUGGACGGAAAGAGCGUUUCGCUUGUUCUGUUUGGGAAACUUGGUCGAACCUUAUCAUUUAGAGGAAGGAGAAGUCGUAACA